RNAcentral lists this long non-coding RNA (1567 nucleotides) under Chinchilla lanigera (long-tailed chinchilla). Its description in RNAcentral is "lncRNA (ENSCLAG00000024723.1)". The record is from RNAcentral. Lineage: Eukaryota; Metazoa; Chordata; Mammalia; Rodentia; Chinchillidae.
UGUAGUUCAGAUUGGCCUUAGACUCACUGUGUAGUCCAGGCUGGCCUCAGACUUGCGAUGAUCCUCCUGCCUCAGCCUCCCUCCUGAGUGCUAGGAUGACAGGUGUGUGCCACCACACCUGAGGCCGGCAACCGUAUUUAACAGAUAAUAAUCAACAGUCUCCUUCCCUCUUUCUCUGUUGUCCCCACACUUCCCUCCCUCUCAGGUUUAAGGCUGUGCUUGCAUGCUCUGCAUGACAAUAGCUUGAAACAGAAAGAUUUUUUUCAGAUCUUUUGAAUCUCUAAGUGUUGAAUACCUGGGGUAUGGAAAUAUUAUUAUGAUAUGUUUUAUUAUUAGCAUUGUACAUUGAAUCAGGAGCGUUUAUAUUUUGAAUUUGUCUGAUUGAAUCUUGGUUGGGAAUUGAAGCCUCAGCACACGAAAGCCACAUGUCACUUUUCAGGAGAGAUGAUACCAGUUGUUUGGACGCCUUGUGUUCUAUUAAAGUCAAAACCAGGCUUCCCUGUCAGACUGUUAGAGAGAAACGUGGCUGGGUUUGUGAGCAAGGAGCCCCUGCUUCCAGCCCAAGAGGCUGGAGAGGAGAGCAGAUCCGGACCGCUGGAGCAUGGCCCCUCUGCCACCCAAGUCCUCCCUGUUAUCACCUCAAAGCUGGGAGAGCAGGCUGCCGACAGUGUGCAGCUGUCUGGAGACGCCCGUAAUGGAGUCAGGACGCUGACCUGGGACAGCAGCUGCAGAGGCGAGAAGUACAACAGUUUCCUUCCUGGCUUCCCAGUCCCACGCCCAGGCUGUGUAACCAAGCGCUCCGUGUCCUCUGCCCAGCUUCCCAUGUGUGCCAGCCUCGCGCUCAGCAUCUAAUUUUAAAAAUGAAUAAAUGAAUGAAAAAAAUGAAUGAAAUGAAACCCCCUCCCUCCAAGAUUUCCAGUUGGGAGCAGAGCCGUAGUGAGGAGGCAGUGUGUACGCUUAGGUCCAGGUAGCCAUCUGGCUUGUCAGCGGUACUGGAAUUUAGAUCAUUGCAAGUAGCAGAGACAAACCUUGCCUACAAAACGUGGAAGUGAGAAAAAAUUGUAAACCUCACUUGGCGAGUCGUUAAGUUGGAGGACAACUCCCACACCCUGCUCUAUGAUGAAGCCAACAUCCAGACUGUCACACUUGGCUCCCCUAGAAGUCUCUGUUCUUCCUUCCUCUGGCCCUGCUGCUCCCUAAGUACAAAUGCCCAGAGCCGCACCAUUCCUUUGUAUUUUUUUCCAAUGAAUGAAGUUCUCUUCCUCCGUUGUAUGUUGCGCAGCACCCGCAAGGCCAGCACUGCCGCUUGAGAUAUUUAAGUAUGACUUUGAGAAAUGAGUCUGUCUUAGAUGUACAAGCACAGAGUCACUGGGAUGAGCAUGACUGCAAUGUUUAAAAUCUCUAAAUAAAGAGAUGCAGCCCUUUUUGCAUAUUCAUUGCCAAAAUGAAUAUUAUAUAGGAUGCCUGCUUUUGUAAGCAUUCGAAUAAAGCACAAGGAGAGAAUGCAGAUUUACUUAUUAUCAAUGAAACAACUCCAGUUGACCCAAGGAAGAAUGGUUUUCUUCAC